RNAcentral lists this ribosomal RNA (627 nucleotides) under Triticum aestivum (bread wheat). RNAcentral describes it as "partial small subunit ribosomal RNA". The record is from RNAcentral. Lineage: Eukaryota; Viridiplantae; Streptophyta; Magnoliopsida; Poales; Poaceae.
AUGCCGCCGGUGGCGACGGCCUCAACCUUGGGCAACUUGGGGGUCGCGCUCGCCUCUCUGCCCUCCCCCCCCCGAAGACGCCGUCUACCGCGUCAGCCGCCUCCCCGACGCGGUCCUCCGCCAUAUCGUCUCCAUCCUUCCCGUCAAGGACGCCGUGCGCACCGCCACACUCUCCCACCGCUGGCGCGGGGUCUGGCGCUCCGCCCCGCUCGUCCUCGUCGAUGCCGAUCUCGCCCCCGCCACCUCCGCCCUGUCUCGCGUGCUCGAAGAGCACCCGGGGCCCUUCCGCUGCGUCCACCUGAUCAAGAGCUGCAGGGAGGAGUUCCAUGGCCUGCUCACGUGCUGGAUCGAGCUUCUCGCCGCCAAGGGCAUACUGGAACUCGUCAUCCUCGACCAAUGGGAUCCUCCAUUCAACGCUAUCCUCCCCUCCACCUUAUUCGGCAUGGCCACCCUCACCCGGCUCCACCUCGGCUCCUGGAAGUUCCUGGACACGGCCGGCCUCCCGCGCUCCGCCUCUUUCCCCAAACUCCAUCAGCUCGGGCUCUGCAACAUCCUUGUAGAGAGCAGGGAUUUGGACUUCAUCCUCGACAGGAGCCCCGUGCUGGAGACGCUCAGUGUCGAAGGUAA